UGCAAGUCGAGCGAUGAGAUCCCUUCGGGGAUGGAUUAGCGGCGAACGGGUGAGGAACACGUGAGGAAUCUACCUUCAACACUGGGAUAACUCCGGGAAACCGGGGCUAAUACCGGAUACGAGAUCGGCAGGCAUCUGCUGAUCUGGAAAGUUUUUCGGUUGAAGAUGACCUCGCGGCCUAUCAGCUUGUUGGUGAGGUAAUGGCUCACCAAGGCGACGACGGGUAGCCGGCCUGAGAGGGCGACCGGCCGCACUGGGACUGAGACACGGCCCAGACUCCUACGGGAGGCAGCAGUGGGGAAUAUUGGGCAAUGGAGGGAACUCUGACCCAGCGACGCCGCGUGCGGGAUGAAGGCCUUCGGGUUGUAAACCGCUUUCAGCAGGGAAGAAGCGAAAGUGACGGUACCUGCAGAAGAAGCACCGGCUAACUAUGUGCCAGCAGCCGCGGUAAUACAUAGGGUGCAAGCGUUGUCCGGAAUUAUUGGGCGUAAAGAGCUCGUAGGUGGUUCGUCACGUCGGAUGUGAAAAUCUGGGGCUUAACCCCAGACCUGCAUUCGAUACGGGCGAGCUAGAGUGUGGUAGGGGAGACUGGAAUUCCUGGUGUAGCGGUGGGAUGCGCAGAUAUCAGGAGGAACACCAAUGGCGAAGGCAGGUCUCUGGGCCAUUACUGACACUGAGGAGCGAAAGCGUGGGGAGCGAACAGGAUUAGAUACCCUGGUAGUCCA
RNAcentral lists this ribosomal RNA (725 nucleotides) under uncultured bacterium. RNAcentral describes it as "bacterial SSU rRNA". It matches the Rfam family "Bacterial small subunit ribosomal RNA", at positions 56 to 797 of the family's 1533-position model. The record is from RNAcentral.